UACGUAGGGGGCAAGCGUUGUCCGGAAUCAUUGGGCGUAAAGCGCGUGUAGGCGGCUCGAUAAGUCCGCUCUGAAAGUCCAGGGCUCAACCCUGGGAUGCGGGUGGAUACUGUCGGGCUCGAGUCCGGAAGAGGCGAGUGGAAUUCCUGGUGUAGCGGUGAAAUGCGCAGAUAUCAGGAAGAACACCCGUGGCGAAGGCGGCUCUCUGGGACGGUACUGACGCUGAGACGCGAAAGCGUGGGGAGCGAACAGG
RNAcentral lists this ribosomal RNA (253 nucleotides) under uncultured bacterium. RNAcentral's name for it is "partial 16S ribosomal RNA". It matches the Rfam family "Bacterial small subunit ribosomal RNA", at positions 524 to 776 of the family's 1533-position model. The record is from RNAcentral.